Molecule: long non-coding RNA, 505 nt
Filed under: Astyanax mexicanus (Mexican tetra)
Lineage: Eukaryota; Metazoa; Chordata; Actinopteri; Characiformes; Acestrorhamphidae
Description: lncRNA (ENSAMXG00005022190.1)
Source: RNAcentral
UAGUGUUGUUUACCCCCCAUUUUUUGCUUCAUUGUGUCUCCAUUUGCCCUUCCCUUCUGCAGAUGCUGGCAGGGGAAAAGCCACAGGCACCAGCAAGGAGGUGUGGAUCUACUUUGAGCUGGAUAGCAGUGGAAAAAACAAUUUUUUUUCACCCAGUCGGAAGGGUGUUUCGACAAAAUGUCUGGAGCUUUGAACGCUGUGGGAGAACGGAGGUGUGCUAUUCAUCAAAGGUGCCGAUUCUGUCCGCGAAGCGGGAGUCGGAUUCAGCAGGGAGUCGGAUUCGGCACAAGCGCGGCAGCACCUCGUGGUCCGCGGUGUUAGUUGUUUUAUCAAGCACGAAGACUCAGACUUCAUUCCCCUAAUGGAGAGAGCACGGCUCUCUGUCUGAGUGAUAAGACUGUCAGAGAUUGAGCUCUUCAGAGAAGAGGCUGAAGACCAUCCAUAACAAGCCUGGAAGCCUGAGGUGAGUAAUAAACAUUCAUAAUACAAAGCUGGGAAGAGGAGA